AGAGUUUGAUCAUGGCUCAGGGCGAACGCUGGCGGCGUGCCUAAUACAUGCAAGUCGAACGAGAAUUUCUUACACCGAGUGCUUGCGCUCAUCGUAAGAAAUUCGAGUGGCGGACGGGUGAGUAACACGUGGGUAACCUGCCCAAAAGAAGGGGAUAACAUUUGGAAACAAAUGCUAAUACCGUAUAACCAUGAUGACCGCAUGGUCAUUAUGUAAAAGGUGGUUUUGCUAUCGCUUUUGGAUGGACCCGCGGCGUAUUAACUAGUUGGUAGGGUAACGGCCUACCAAGGUGAUGAUACGUAGCCGAGUUGAGAGACUGAUCGGCCACAAUGGGACUGAGACACGGCCCAUACUCCUACGGGAGGCAGCAGUAGGGAAUCUUCCACAAUGGGCGCAAGCCUGAUGGAGCAACGCCGCGUGAAUGAAGAAGGUCUUCGGAUCGUAAAAUUCUGUUGUUAGAGAAGAAUAUGAGUAAUAGUAACUGAUUAUUCACUGACGGUAUCUAACCAGCAAGUCACGGCUAACUACGUGCCAGCAGCCGCGGUAAUACGUAGGUGGCAAGCGUUGUCCGGAUUUAUUGGGCGUAAAGGGAACGCAGGCGGUUUUUUAAGUCUGAUGUGAAAGCCUUCGGCUUAACCGGAGAUGUGCAUUGGAAACUGGAAGACUUGAGUGCAGAAGAGGAGAGUGGAACUCCAUGUGUAGCGGUGAAAUGCGUAGAUAUAUGGAAGAACACCAGUGGCGAAAGCGGCUCUCUGGUCUGUAACUGACGCUGAGGUUCGAAAGCAUGGGUAGCGAACAGGAUUAGAUACCCUGGUAGUCC
This 820-nucleotide ribosomal RNA is filed under the name uncultured bacterium. Its description in RNAcentral is "bacterial SSU rRNA". It matches the Rfam family "Bacterial small subunit ribosomal RNA", at positions 8 to 796 of the family's 1533-position model. The record is from RNAcentral.